Molecule: ribosomal RNA, 452 nt
Filed under: uncultured bacterium
Lineage: Bacteria
Description: bacterial SSU rRNA
Rfam family: Bacterial small subunit ribosomal RNA
Source: RNAcentral
UAGAGUAGCAAUACUUUGAUGGCGACCGGCGCACGGGUGAGUAACACGUAUGCAACCUACCUACAUCAGGGGAAUAACCCGGAGAAAUUCGGACUAAUACCGCAUAAUACAGGGAUGCCGCAUGGUAAUAUUUGUUAAAGAUUUAUCGGAUGUAGAUGGGCAUGCGUUCCAUUAGCUAGUUGGUAAGGUAACGGCUUACCAAGGCAACGAUGGAUAGGGGAACUGAGAGGUUUGUCCCCCACACUGGAACUGAGACACGGACCAGACUCCUACGGGAGGCAGCAGUGAGGAAUAUUGGUCAAUGGACGAGAGUCUGAACCAGCCAAAUCGCGUGAAAGGAAGACUGCCCUACGGGUUGUAAACUUCUUUUGUACAGGAAUAAAAGACAUUACGUGUAGUGUAUUGCAUGUACUGUACGAAUAAGCAUCGGCUAACUCCGUGCCAGCCGCCGC